This 667-nucleotide ribosomal RNA is filed under the name Clostridioides difficile. RNAcentral's name for it is "partial 23S ribosomal RNA". It matches the Rfam family "Bacterial large subunit ribosomal RNA", at positions 1897 to 2562 of the family's 2925-position model. The record is from RNAcentral. Lineage: Bacteria; Bacillati; Bacillota; Clostridia; Peptostreptococcales; Peptostreptococcaceae.
AAUCGAAGCAGUGAACUUAAGCCCCAGUAAACGGCGGCCGUAACUAUAACGGUCCUAAGGUAGCGAAAUUCCUUGUCGGGUAAGUUCCGACCCGCACGAAAGGCGUAACGAUUUGGGCACUGUCUCAACAACAGACUCGGUGAAAUUGUAAUUCCGGUGAAGAUGCCGGAUACCUGCGACAGGACGGAAAGACCCCAUGGAGCUUUACUGUAGCUUGACAUUGGGUCUUGGUACUACAUGUACAGGAUAGGUGGGAGGCUUUGAAACCAGGACGCCAGUUUUGGCGGAGCCAUCCUUGGGAUACCACCCUUGUAGUACUGGGACUCUAACCAUAGGCCAUGAAUCUGGUCUUGGGACACUGUCAGGUGGGCAGUUUGACUGGGGCGGUCGCCUCCCAAAAGGUAACGGAGGCGCUCAAAGGUUCUCUCAGUACGGUCGGAAAUCGUACGUAGAGUGUAAAGGCAAAAGAGAGCUUGAUUGCAAGACAUACAGGUCGAGCAAGGAUGAAAAUCGGACUUAGUGAUCCGGUGGUUCUGCGUGGAAGGGCCAUCGCUCAACGGAUAAAAGCUACCCUGGGGAUAACAGGCUUAUCUCCCCCAAGAGUCCACAUCGACGGGGAGGUUUGGCACCUCGAUGUCGGCUCAUCACAUCCUGGGGCUGUAGUAGG